GGCCGCCUGGCGAAAUGGCAUCGCGUCUGACUACGACUGUUGCGAUGAAGUGUUGUAAUCAGGAGAUUGCAGGUUCGACCCCUGCGGUGGUCA
Non-coding RNA from Grifola frondosa (maitake), 93 nucleotides. NCBI's taxonomy places the organism in Eukaryota, Fungi, Basidiomycota, Agaricomycetes, Polyporales, Grifolaceae. The record is from Rfam.